This 543-nucleotide ribosomal RNA is filed under the name uncultured bacterium. Its description in RNAcentral is "bacterial SSU rRNA". It matches the Rfam family "Bacterial small subunit ribosomal RNA", at positions 358 to 916 of the family's 1533-position model. The record is from RNAcentral.
GGAAUCUUGCGCAAUGGGCGAAAGCCUGACGCAGCAACGCCGCGUGCGGGAAGAAGGCUUUCGGGCUGUAAACCGCUUUCAGCAGGAACGAAAAUGACGGUACCUGCAGAAGAAGGAGCGGCCAACUAUGUGCCAGCAGCCGCGGUGAUACAUAGGCUUCAAGCGUUGUCCGGAUUUAUUGGGCGUAAAGAGUUCGUAGGCGGUCGAGUAAGUCGGGUGUGAAAAUUCUGGGCUCAACCCAGAAACGCCACCCGAUACUGCUUAACUUGAGUUCGAUAGGGGAGUGGGGAAUUCCUAGUGUAGCGGUGAAAUGCGCAGAUAUUAGGAGGAACACCGGUGGCGAAGGCGCCACUCUGGAUCGAUACCGACGCUGAGGAACGAAAGCAUGGGUAGCAAACAGGAUUAGAUACCCUGGUAGUCCAUGCCGUAAACGGUGGGCACUAGGUGUGGGAUUCUAUUAACGAAUUCCGCGCCGUCGCUAACGCAUUAAGUGCCCCGCCUGGGGAGUACGGUCGCAAGACUAAAACUCAAAUGAAUUGACGG